AGCCUUGAAGUAUAAGUACGUUGGAUUGCAAAUCCAAAAAAGCAGGUUAGCUGCCGGCCGGGGCUU
Molecule: transfer RNA, 66 nt
Filed under: Anablepsoides waimacui
Lineage: Eukaryota; Metazoa; Chordata; Actinopteri; Cyprinodontiformes; Rivulidae
Description: tRNA-Cys
Rfam family: tRNA
About the family: Transfer RNA (tRNA) molecules are approximately 80 nucleotides in length. Their secondary structure includes four short double-helical elements and three loops (D, anti-codon, and T loops).
Source: RNAcentral